GAUGAACGCUGGCGGCGUGCCUAAUACAUGCAAGUCGAGCGAACGGACGAGAAGCUUGCUUCUCUGAUGUUAUCGGCGGACGGGUGAGUAACACGUGGAUAACCUACCUAUAAGACUGGGAUAACUUCGGGAAACCGGAGCUAAUACCGGAUAAUAUUUUGAACCGCAUGGUUCACAAGUGAAAGAAGGUCUUUCUGUCACUUAUAGAUUGAUCCGCGCUGCAUUAGCUAGUUGGUAAGGUAACGGCUUACCAAGGCAACGAUGCAUAGCCGACCUGAGCGGGUGAUCGGCCACACGGGAACUGAGGCAGGGUCCAGACUCCGACGGGAGGCAGCAGUAGGGAAUCUUACGCAAUGGGCGAGAGCCUGACGGAGCAACACCGCGUGAGGGAUGAAGGUCUUAGGAUCGUAAAACUCUGUUAUUAGGGAAGAAGAUAUGUGUAAGUAACUGUGAACAUCUUGACGGUACCUAAUCAGAAAGCCACGGCUAACUACGUG
This 497-nucleotide ribosomal RNA is filed under the name uncultured bacterium. Its description in RNAcentral is "partial 16S ribosomal RNA". It matches the Rfam family "Bacterial small subunit ribosomal RNA", at positions 28 to 507 of the family's 1533-position model. The record is from RNAcentral.